CACACAUUUAUUACCUUACAGGUCUGGAGGCCUGAAGUCCAAAACUCGUCUCAUGGGGCUAAAGUCAAGACAUGGGCAGGGCUGGUUCCUUCUGGAAGUUCUGAGAAAGAAUCCAUUUCCCGACUUUUCCAGCAUCUAGAGGCCACUUGCACUCAUUGGCCCGUGGCCCCUUCCUCAGCUCUCUGAUUCUGCUUCUGUGCACACGUCGUCCCUGACCCCCCUGCCUCCCCCUCUUCACUUAUAAGGACCCUUUUGAUUACAUUGGUCCCACUCGGAAAAUCCAUGAUGCUCUGGCCCAUCUCAAGAUCCUUAAUCACAUUUGCAAAAUCCUUUUGCCACAUAAGGUAACAUAGUCACCGGCACUGGGGAUUAGGACCUGGAUAUCUUGGGCGCCAUCAUUCUGCUGAUCGUCCCGAUACCCAGCCUUUCAGUGCGCUCAGUGUUGAAGUGGGCAUUAGCCUCAGCUGACUGAGGAGGAAGAGAGUAACUGGUCCGUCACUGGGCAGGAAGGAGAGUAGAACAUGGCGCGAUAUGAACGCUGCCGAUGGCCACUAACACCCUGGCUGCUGCCCCAGAACGUCUCCCCUUCUUGUUUGUGCACAGGACCCCAGCAAAAUCACUGCGACACCAGCCCCGCCUGUCAGCAGCACAGAGGAGAAAAAGCAAAGCAAGUCACAGCAGCUGAGAAAGAUUUUUCAAGAGUAUGGUGCCGUUGGCGUGUCGCUGCACAUCGGAAUCUCACUCAUCUCCUUGGGCAUAUUUUACAUGGUGGUUUCAAGUGGUGUGGACAUGUCUGCAAUCCUGCUUAAACUCGGAUUUAAAGAGUCGCUGGUGCAGUCCAAAAUGGCAGCGGGCACAAGCACCUUUGUGGUGGCCUACGCCAUCCACAAGCUCUUUGCCCCCGUGCGAAUCAGCAUCACCUUAGUUUCUGUGCCCUUCAUUGUCAGAUAUUUUCGCAAAGUGGGAUUUUUUAAACCUCCAGCUGCAAAGCCUUGAUGAACUCUUCAAACCUAUUUCUUUUAAAUAGAAAUUUUAGGUUAGUUUUAGGAUAGAGCUUUUCCGUGAGGGGUGGGUAGGGUGGGAACAGAAAGCUAAUUGCUAUGUUCUCAUGAAUAAGUUUUACCUUUGGCAGCAAAAUUCAGGUUUUUUAAUGAUUGUAAUUAAUUUGCUUUACAAAUAUUACAAAUGCUAUUGAUGGUAGGGCUUGUAUACAUAAUCUUAAAUGUCAGCAAAACAUCACAAAUUGAGUUGUCACCUCGAACAAAACUGUUAGCCUACAAAAUGUUCCUUCUGGAAGAUCAUUGGUGAGGUUCUAGUCUGCAGAAGCCCCAGGGGUUACUCUUCACUCAAAUUCUUAAAGGGCAACGAUUCAUUAAGCUGGUUUUUAAAAUUCCCCUUUCUCCAAUAUCUGUUGUCAGGCUGCCUGCGGUUUAAUAUGCAAUAUUCUGCAAAACAGCUGCCAGUGUUACAAUUAAUGAAGCAGAAUUUAAGACUCAACAAUAUGUAAUCAGGAUCUAAAUUAGCAGCAACGCUUUGAUGUUCAUUACACUUGUUUUAGGAAGGAAAAAUAACCAAGUAUUUCUAGUGUGUUUCAUUGACCCUAAAACACCUUCAAAUCUGGACAUGAUGGUCCCUACCUCAGGUGGCUUUUCUCAAAUUUCAUGGAAGUAGGUCAGGGUCAUUUAUCUCUGUUUAGGCAAAAUGGAAAUUUUAUCCAGUAGUAGUAGCAUCACGUGGCUCCUGACGGCCUUAUCCACAGGUGAAUUUGGAUACUGUACACAUGGAAAGCUAAGACAAUCUUCGCUUAACCCUCUGUCAAACUUCAGGCAUUCCAGAACUACUGUCACAAUGUUUACGUUGUGUUGCUACUUAUAUUUUUUAACUGAGUUAAAAUUGUUAUGUAGAAAAAGAUUUUGUAACAAUCUCUAAGAAGGAAAAUUAGUGUGCUUGCUGUAAAUGGGAGGCAACUGUGAAAUACUGUGAACUAAUACAAAAUAAUACAAGCCGAGGGAGAGGGGCGGGCAGGUGUAAUUACUUUCUGUUGAGCCAGUUUUACCUGAUAAAGCAUGUUUGAUGUGAGCCCCCCCCCAUUGCUGUGAGGGACGUUAUUAGUUAAGAACAGAAACUCAAGCACACAGAUUCAAAUUGAGACUUUUGUCCCUGGAACACUUAGGAGCAGACAGACUGGAGGGAAUUCCUUUCUGUGGGAUUCACGUAAUGCUACCCUCCGGGCCAUAUUCACACAGCAUGGUCCACACUGGAACCUGGAUUCAAUCCGUUCUGCCCUGCCACCUUGAUCGAGGGAGAUACAAUUUUGGUGGGGGGAGUUAAUUACAGAUGUGACAAUCAGAAAACUAAAGGAACUAUAAAUUGACCCUCCUGGUUUUACCAGCUGGCUGCUGACCGUUCCCUGGUUAAGCCUUAGUAACCUAUGUCCGUUAUUUCAGUUAAUUUACAAGAAGCUUUGUGGGACAAAUUCUCCACUUGUAAGAUCAUUAAAGUGGAUUCUCCCCCCCCCCUUUUAAAGCAAUUAGCCAAUUGCCAAAAGGCUUUACCGAUUUCAAGUUGGAACUGCCUUUCUGGGAUCUAAUUCCAAGGACAUCGACACAGCUGAGCAAGAUGCCUGCUAAGAGUGCUAGGCAGUCCCUCCCUGUGGUCUGGUCUCUGUUCACACAGCUGGCUUCACACUCUAACCACCUUCUCGACCAGUCUCCCUACCACUCAGAUCCCUAGUAAUGCCUAUGCAAAACAAAAAACAAACAAAACUGACAGUGAGUCCUACAGGUUUAAGGGCUGAAAUCUUAAAACUUUGAUUCCACGUUUGGAGGAAUGGAAGUGGACAGGGCAAGCAAUAAAACCAAUCACCAAACCA
This 2872-nucleotide long non-coding RNA is filed under the name Ursus americanus (American black bear). RNAcentral describes it as "lncRNA (ENSUAMG00000018572.1)". Lineage: Eukaryota; Metazoa; Chordata; Mammalia; Carnivora; Ursidae. The record is from RNAcentral.